AACUGAAGAGUUUGAUCAUGGCUCAGAUUGAACGCUGGCGGCAGGCUUAACACAUGCAAGUCGAGCGGGGGAAGGUAGCUUGCUACUGGACCUAGCGG
Molecule: ribosomal RNA, 98 nt
Filed under: Acinetobacter baumannii ABNIH18
Lineage: Bacteria; Pseudomonadati; Pseudomonadota; Gammaproteobacteria; Moraxellales; Moraxellaceae
Description: partial 16S ribosomal RNA
Rfam family: Bacterial small subunit ribosomal RNA
Source: RNAcentral